Molecule: long non-coding RNA, 1911 nt
Filed under: Homo sapiens (human)
Lineage: Eukaryota; Metazoa; Chordata; Mammalia; Primates; Hominidae
Description: HSALNT0114068
Source: RNAcentral
UGAUAAUGCUUUGCAGUGUGCCACUGAAUGUACAAUGUGUACUUUGCAAAAAUAACAAAGCUUAGUAAUGUGGGACUUGAAUUUAAUUAUCUGCUCUUAAAUUUCUGAUAAGAAGUAGAAGCUGCCAAAAUUGUGAUGAAAAUGACUAGGAGAACAGCUUGGAGAGAGGCCUGUGGAGGGGAGAGUGGAUUUGGCAGAGGUCCCUGUUUUCUGGUUGCCUAGGUAGCACCUCUAAGCCUUGUCGGGUGGCUUCUUUACAAACACUUUUAUGGCUUGGUCAGGGUCUGGGUGCUGUUCAUACCCCAGUUUCAGUCCCUGGUGCAUUUUUUUUUAAUUAUUUAUUUAUUUAUUUUUGAGCUGGAGUCUUGCUCUGUCACCCAGGCUGGAGUACUGUGGCGUGAUCUCUGCUCACUGCAACCUCCACCUUCUGGAUUCAAGCGAUUCUCCUGUCUCAGCCUCCUGAGCAGCUGGGAUUACAGGUGCAUGCCACCAAGCCCGGCUAAUUUUUGUAUUUUAGUGAAGACAGGGUUUCGUCACGUUGGCCAGGCUGGUCUCAAACUCCUGACCUCAGGUGAUCCUCUGGUGCAUGUUUUAAUGGGGCCAAAAGGAGAUGACACAAGGGCAAGGGGAACCAUAGGCAUCUGUGCAACUCCUGAGUUGCAUGAAAAGGAAGACAAGUUGACGGAGUCCUGCUCUGUCGCCCAGGCUGGAGUGCAAUUGCACGAUCUCAGCUCACUGUGACCUCUGCCUCCUGUGUUCAAGUGAAUCUCCUGCCUCAGCCUCUCCAGCAGCUGGGAUUACAGGUGCCCCCCCACCACACCUGGCUAGUAUUUUUGUAUUUUUAGUAGAAGCAGGGUUUCACCAUGUUGGCCAGGCUGGUCUCGAACUCCUGACCUCAAGUGAUCCACCCGCCUCAGCCUCCCAAAGCGCUGGGAUUACAGGCAUGAGCCACCGCGCUCGGCAUUAUAUGUAUUUUCUAAUGCUUCUACAAAAGCCUGGUAUUGGUAUUGAGCAGGCAAAGAAGAACCAAGGCUCUCACACAUGCUGUCCCAUCCAGAUAGAACAGUCAUUCUCUGAGUCUUUGCUUGUCUGACUCCUACUCAUCCUUCAGACUCCAGCGUAAAUAUCCCAUCCUGAGGGCAGCUUUCCCUGACCGUCUGGCCUAGGGAAUGGAAGGAGAAAGCCAUGGCUACAGAGGCAGAACAGAGGCGCAGGAAGAAAGAAGCCAUUGGUUUCACUACGGAAGCACUGCAAGAAGCUUCAGCUGCAGGAAGACCCAUAUCUGGAGUUUUCAAUGAUGUGAGAACAAACUAUUUCCUUCAUUAUUCACAUCAAGUUCGGGCUGCCUGGAGUGAAACACAUUCUAAAGCCAGUAGGUAGCAUCACAAGUGCAAAAUGAAAAAGGCACCCACAGAACUGGGACAAAUUUUGUUUCAUUGCACUGAGACUAGAAGGGACGAGACAGCUCAUGUGGUCUGUGUUCCUGCCUUCAAGGAGGAGUAGAAUCAAGAAAUGGAAGAAGCCUUGGGGCUUUCAGGUCACCCACGCCUGUGUCUGACCCUUGGCUGUACACCAGAUCACCUGGGGAACUUUGUAAAAACAGCUUCCUCCACCCCAUUCCAUUGCGUUGAGCCAAAAUCUCUAGGGGUGAGGCUCAUUAUCUGUUUCACAAACUCCAAGUGAUUCUGAGGGACCAUCCCUUAACAACUGUGAACUUUCCUUUGGUAGAAGGAAGCAGCAUAGCAGAUCCUAAUGCUAAUGCCGACAUCAAAUUCAAAGCACUGAAUGUGUGUAUCAUGGUCUUAGAAGUAUGUAUAACUCAUUUCUGAAUCACUUUAUUGAAGACCCAAAUUAAUUAAAUACUUAGACUAUGCAUGAGAGUCUGAAGGCCUUUCUCCUGUGUGUAAAAGG